RNAcentral lists this unclassified non-coding RNA (307 nucleotides) under plant metagenome. RNAcentral's name for it is "partial contains 5.8S ribosomal RNA, internal transcribed spacer 2, and large subunit ribosomal RNA". The stretch from base 1 to 105 matches the Rfam family "5.8S ribosomal RNA", at positions 50 to 154 of the family's 154-position model. The record is from RNAcentral.
GAAAUGCGAUAAGUAGUGUGAAUUGCAGAAUUCAGUGAAUCAUCGAAUCUUUGAACGCACAUUGCACCCUUUGGUAUUCCAAAGGGCAUGCCUGUUCGAGCGUCAUUUGUACCCUCAAGCUUUGCUUGGUGUUGGGCGUCUUGUCUCUAGCUUUGCUGGAGACUCGCCUUAAAGUAAUUGGCAGCCGGCCUACUGGUUUCGGAGCGCAGCACAAGUCGCACUCUCUAUCAGCAAAGGUCUAGCAUCCAUUAAGCCUUUUUUCAACUUUUGACCUCGGAUCAGGUAGGGAUACCCGCUGAACUUAAGC